This 253-nucleotide ribosomal RNA is filed under the name uncultured bacterium. RNAcentral describes it as "partial 16S ribosomal RNA". It matches the Rfam family "Bacterial small subunit ribosomal RNA", at positions 524 to 776 of the family's 1533-position model. The record is from RNAcentral.
UACGUAGGGGGCAAGCGUUGUCCGGAUUCAUUGGGCGUAAAGAGCGUGUAGGCGGCCUGGAAGGUCAGCUGUGAAAACUCGAGGCUCAACCUCGAGACGUCGGUUGAAACCACCUGGCUAGAGUCCGGAAGAGGAGAGUGGAAUUCCCGGUGUAGCGGUGAAAUGCGCAGAUAUCGGGAAGAACACCCGUGGCGAAGGCGGCUCUCUGGGACGGUACUGACGCUGAGACGCGAAAGCGUGGGGAGCGAACAGG